AGCGAACGCUGGCGGCAGGCCUAACACAUGCAAGUCGAACGAACUCUUCGGAGUUAGUGGCGGACGGGUGUGUAACACGUGGGGACGUGCCUUUUGGUUCGGAAUAACUCAGGGAAACUUGUGCUAAUACCGAAUGUGCCCUUCGGGGGAAAGAUUUAUCGCCAUUAGAUCGGCCCGCGUCUGAUUAGCUAGUUGGUGAGGUAACGGCUCACCAAGGCGACGAUCAGUAGCUGGUCUGAGAGGAUGACCAGCCACACUGGGACUGAGACACGGCCCAGACUCCUACGGGAGGCAGCAGUGGGGAAUCUUGCGCAAUGGGCGAAAGCCUGACGCAGCCAUGCCGCGUGAAUGAUGAAGGUCUUAGGAUUGUAAAAUUCUUUCACCGGGGACGAUAAUGACGGUACCCGGAGAAGAAGCCCCGGCUAACUUCGUG
This 433-nucleotide ribosomal RNA is filed under the name uncultured bacterium. RNAcentral's name for it is "partial 16S ribosomal RNA". It matches the Rfam family "Bacterial small subunit ribosomal RNA", at positions 29 to 507 of the family's 1533-position model. The record is from RNAcentral.